AGAAUCAACGCUGGCGGCGCGCUUAACACAUGCAAGUCGCACGAGAAAGGGUAGCAAUACCUGAGUAAAGUGGCGCACGGGUGAGUAACACGUGAAUGAUCUACCUCCGAGUGGGGAAUAAACUGAGAGAAAUCUUAGCUAAUACCGCAUAACACUUACGAGUCAAAGCAGCAAUGCGCUUGGAGAGGAGUUCGCGGCCGAUUAGUUAGUUGGCGGGGUAAUGGCCCACCAAGACGAUGAUCGGUA
This 246-nucleotide ribosomal RNA is filed under the name uncultured bacterium. RNAcentral's name for it is "partial small subunit ribosomal RNA". It matches the Rfam family "Bacterial small subunit ribosomal RNA", at positions 26 to 285 of the family's 1533-position model. The record is from RNAcentral.